RNAcentral lists this ribosomal RNA (455 nucleotides) under uncultured organism. RNAcentral describes it as "bacterial SSU rRNA". It matches the Rfam family "Bacterial small subunit ribosomal RNA", at positions 28 to 507 of the family's 1533-position model. The record is from RNAcentral.
GAUGAACGCUAGCGGCGUGCCUAACGCAUGCAAGUCGAACGGUAAGCCCUUCGGGGCCAAGAGUGGCGAACGGGUGAGUAACACGUAGGUGACCUACCUCUAAGAGGGGGACAACCACUGGAAACGGUGGCUAAUACCCCAGAUGUUGUAAAGAUUAGAAGGAUACAACUAAAGCUCCGGCGCUUAGAGAGGGGCCUGCGGUCCAUCAGCUAGUUGGAGAGGUAACGGCUCACCAAGGCAAAGACGGAUAGGGGGCGUGAGAGCGUGACCCCCCACACUGGUACUGACACACGGACCAGAUACCUACGGGUAGCAGCAGCGAGGAAUAUUGCGCAAUGGGGGAAACCCUGACGCAGCAACGCCGCGUGGAGGAAGAAGGCCUUCGGGUUGUAAACUCCUUUUGUGAGGGAAGAGAAAGGACGGUACCUCAUGAAUAAGGCCCGGCUAACUACGUG